GCAUUUGAAGCUAACUAGGUAGAAGCGCUGGGUUGAAAUUCCAGAGGACUUGGAUCGUUACCAAGCAGAUGCACCA
This 76-nucleotide transfer RNA is filed under the name Pseudomonas phage phiMK. RNAcentral's name for it is "tRNA-Phe". It matches the Rfam family "tRNA". From Rfam's summary of the family: Transfer RNA (tRNA) molecules are approximately 80 nucleotides in length. Their secondary structure includes four short double-helical elements and three loops (D, anti-codon, and T loops). RNAcentral also lists the same sequence under 10 other names. Lineage: Duplodnaviria; Heunggongvirae; Uroviricota; Caudoviricetes; Vandenendeviridae. The record is from RNAcentral.